AACGAACGCUGGCGGCAUGCCUAACACAUGCAAGUCGAACGAGACCUUCGGGCCUAGUGGCGCACGGGUGCGUAACGCGUGAGAACAUGCCCUUAGGUUCGGAAUAACUUCCCGAAAGGGGUGCUAAUACCGGAUAAUGUCUCCGGACCAAAGAUUUAUCGCCUUUGGAUGGGCCUGCGUUGGAUUAGUUAGUUGGUAGGGUAAAAGCCUACCAAGGCGACGAUCCAUAGCUGGUCUGAGAGGAUGAUCAGCCACACUGGGACUGAGACACGGCCCAGACUCCUACGGGAGGCAGCAGUGGGGAAUAUUGGACAAUGGGCGAAAGCCUGAUCCAGCAAUGCCGCGUGAGUGAUGAAGGCCUUAGGGUUGUAAAGCUCUUUUACCCGGGAUGAUAAUGACAGUACCGGGAGAAUAAGCUCCGGCUAACUCCGUG
This 433-nucleotide ribosomal RNA is filed under the name uncultured bacterium. RNAcentral's name for it is "partial 16S ribosomal RNA". It matches the Rfam family "Bacterial small subunit ribosomal RNA", at positions 29 to 507 of the family's 1533-position model. The record is from RNAcentral.